GCCGGGGUAGCCUAGCGGUAAGGCGCAGGCCUGGAGAGCCUGUGCCCCUUCGGGGGCUCGCGGGUUCGAAUCCCGCCCCCGGCGCCA
RNAcentral lists this transfer RNA (87 nucleotides) under Candidatus Bathyarchaeota archaeon. RNAcentral describes it as "tRNA-Ser". It matches the Rfam family "tRNA". From Rfam's summary of the family: Transfer RNA (tRNA) molecules are approximately 80 nucleotides in length. Their secondary structure includes four short double-helical elements and three loops (D, anti-codon, and T loops). The record is from RNAcentral. RNAcentral also lists the same sequence under 2 other names. Lineage: Archaea; Thermoproteati; Candidatus Bathyarchaeota.